Molecule: non-coding RNA, 89 nt
Organism: Aspergillus novofumigatus IBT 16806
Lineage: Eukaryota; Fungi; Ascomycota; Eurotiomycetes; Eurotiales; Aspergillaceae
Source: the annotation of a RefSeq genome assembly
GCCCGGGUGGUCUAGUGGUAUGAUUCUCGCUUAGGGAUAAACCCAAGCAUAUCUGCGAGAGGUCCCGCGUUCGAUCCGCGGCUCGGGCC